UGAGGAAUAUUGGUCAAUGGGCGAGAGCCUGAACCAGCCACGUCGCGUGAAGGAAGACUGACCUUACGGUUUGUAAACUUCUUUUGUAGAGGGGUAAUGGCAGAUACGUGUAUUUGCGUGAAAGUACUCUACGAAUAAGCGUCGGCUAACUCCGUGCCAGCAGCCGCGGUAAUACGGGGGAUGCGAGCGUUAUCCGGAAUUAUUGGGUUUAAAGGGUGCGCAGGUGGCUAAUCAGGUCAGUGGUGAAAAGCUAUGGCUCAACCAUGGUCUUGCCAUUGAAACCGUAUAGCUAGAGAGGAGACGAGGUAGGCGGAAUGUGUGGUGUAGCGGUGAAAUGCAUAGAUAUCACACAGAACUCCGAUUGCGAAGGCAGCUUACCAGGCUUUAUCUGACACUUAGGCACGACAGCGUGGGGAGCAAACAGG
Molecule: ribosomal RNA, 425 nt
Filed under: Verrucomicrobiota bacterium
Lineage: Bacteria; Pseudomonadati; Verrucomicrobiota
Description: Verrucomicrobia bacterium partial 16S ribosomal RNA
Rfam family: Bacterial small subunit ribosomal RNA
Source: RNAcentral